Molecule: long non-coding RNA, 1560 nt
Organism: Myxocyprinus asiaticus (Chinese sucker)
Lineage: Eukaryota; Metazoa; Chordata; Actinopteri; Cypriniformes; Catostomidae
Exons: 3
Source: RefSeq, a predicted model, not a curated record
GGAUACACCUCAUGCAUCCUCCGAAUUCCCGUGAAAGAAGGUCGCAUUCGAAGGCUGCAUUCAAAGUGUCCUACUCGCUUUUCUGAAACGAGACAGUCUCGAUGAUGUAUGCGGCCGACAAAAGUGACCUCCUGAGGACGCAGCCUUCCAAAGGGGAGACAGCCAUUGAAAAUUAAUGAGAAGAGGUCGCUUUGUCGCUGGAAGUCGCUGCAUGUGUGUACGCUGCUUCAGACUGCAGACCAACACGCUCAGGCUCACCUGCACUCUCAGCUUUCUGUGACGUCAGUGGCAAGCGCAUAAGAAAUUUGACCUCCAUUAGCAAUUGCAGGCAUGGCUAUGCACCAUUCAAUUUUAUCAACGGAUAAAAACCCUGUGCAACCACAGUGCACAUCAUGUUGCAGGCUUUUCCAUUGUCCUUUAUGCCCUGCCCUGAAGCCAACCAAACAUUUAAAAAAGGCAAUCAUUUUUUAAAGGAGUGUGUCAUAGUGGACCUUAUGACUGGAAGUCAGUGGUGUGUAGAAAACUCAGAUUUUCUUCUUGGAUCAGUUCAGCUGCCACGCAUACUCUGCAUGCACAGUAAAAAACAUGAAUUGGUUAACGGGUAAAAAAUGAUAAAGUAUUUAAAAAGAAAAUACAGAUGUAAAAAGUGUGAUUUUACCAUAUAAUUAUCAGUAAAAAUGUAUAUUAUGUUUAAUAAGAGAGCACAUGUACUUUUUACAGUAAAUUAUUGUUAAAAUUGUGGUAAAAGGAACAAUAACCGGGCGUUCCCAGAAUUCCUUGCGUGACCCAUUACAUUUCAUUAUAUUUUAUGGGAAUAGUUCUGUUUCUUCUUUUUUAAUAUCACUUAUCUACAUUAGGGUGUUCUGUGUUAUAUUUUAUUUAGAUUAGUUAAUGUUUAUUGCAUUAUUUUAAUUUCACAUUUGUUACCCUGAUAGUGUUUAGUGUUUGUGUGAGUGACACUGAGCACUGUCUCUACAUGUUUAUUGAUCACUGCUCUUGGAAAGGCUAAUAUUGAUGAACUUCAUGUCAUCAUGUGCCUUUUUGUAAUUACAUUAUAAAGUGAAAAGCAGAUUUUUACAGUUUCAGAAGGUUAAAGUAUUUAGUGUUUAGUGUUUGUGUGUUUAAUAAUAACUGUUUAAUAACAUUUAAUAAUAAAAAACGGUAAUGCUCUGUAAAAUGUACAGGCAUCACAAUGACAUCCCGUAAAGCCUGAAGUGUGGUUACCAUAUUUUUUACAGUGAAUUUCUGGCAACCACAGCUGCCAGUUUUUUACUGUAAAUUUAACAGGAUUUUUUUUUACAGUGUGGAGGACGAAGAUAUUGCUGAGGCUGUGGACAAUUUAGUCAGUGCAGAGUUCCCAGAAGUGAGGCAUGUUGCUGUGGAGCCUUUCUGCUCUGUUUUUACAGGAAUGCAUGUUGUCGACAAAAUGAAACUGAAAGUGUACUGUUGUGCAGAUUUUUUUAAAGAUUUUUUAAAUGUAAGCCUUUAAAAUAAUAAUAAAAAUAAAAUAAUGUGUCAUUUCUGGGGGAGAGCGGUUAGUUUUAAAAGACCGAAUUAUUG